GCCUAACCUAACACACAAUAAAACACCAAUUGUUCGCCAAACAACUACGAGUAAAAACUUAAAACUUAAAAGACUUGACGGUACUUCACACCACCCUAGAGGAGCCUGUCUAAUAACCGAUACUCCACGAUUAACCCAACCCCCUCUAGCCAACCAGUCUAUAUACCGCCAUCGCCAGCCUACCUUGUAAAAGAAACAAAGUAAGCGCAACAGCCACCACUAACACGAUAGGUCGAGGUGUAACAAAUGAAGGGGUAAAAGAUGGGCUACAUUUUCUAACACAGAAAACACGAACAAACUAUGAAAGUAGAAACAGAAGGCGGAUUUAGCAGUACGUUAAGGACAAAAUGCUUAACCGAAACAAACGCAAUGAAGUGCGUACACACCGCCCGUCAUCCCUGGAACAACAAUAAAUAACAUUUAUAAAAACACAAAACACCUUAAACAGGGCAAGUCGUAACAUGGUAAGCGUACUGGAAAGUGCGCUUAGAAA
RNAcentral lists this ribosomal RNA (493 nucleotides) under Trimerodytes annularis (Red-bellied annulate keelback). RNAcentral describes it as "partial 12S ribosomal RNA". Lineage: Eukaryota; Metazoa; Chordata; Lepidosauria; Squamata; Natricidae. The record is from RNAcentral.